RNAcentral lists this ribosomal RNA (527 nucleotides) under uncultured bacterium. RNAcentral describes it as "partial 16S ribosomal RNA". It matches the Rfam family "Bacterial small subunit ribosomal RNA", at positions 355 to 899 of the family's 1533-position model. The record is from RNAcentral.
UGGGGAAUCUUGCGCAAUGGGCGAAAGCCUGACGCAGCCAUGCCGCGUGAAUGAUGAAGGUCUUAGGAUUGUAAAAUUCUUUCAGCGGGGACGAUAAUGACGGUACCCGCAGAAGAAGCCCCGGCUAACUUCGUGCCAGCAGCCGCGGUAAUACGAAGGGGGCUAGCGUUGCUCGGAUUUACUGGGCGUAAAGGGCGCGUAGGCGGAUUGACAAGUUGGGGGUGAAAGCCCGGGGCUCAACCUCGGAAUUGCCUUCAAAACUGUCAGUCUUGAGUUCGGGAGAGGUGAGUGGAACUCCGAGUGUAGAGGUGAAAUUCGUAGAUAUUCGGAAGAACACCAGUGGCGAAGGCGACUCACUGGCCCGAUACUGACGCUGAGGCGCGAAAGCGUGGGGAGCAAACAGGAUUAGAUACCCUGGUAGUCCACGCUGUAAACGAUGAGUGCUAGUUGUCGGCAGGCAUGCCUGUCGGUGACGCAGCUAACGCAUUAAGCACUCCGCCUGGGGGAGUACGGUCGCAAGAUUAAAA